UUUACAUCUAACACAAUUUCCCAACUCAUAUAGAAAUGGGGUUUGUAUGAUGCUUGGGGAAAUCGUCUAUUUGUGACUCAAAAAGUCAAAAGUUUUAAAUGUGUUUUCGGCUAUCUUGCCACUUCUGGGUUUAUGGAAAAUACAGUACUAUCAGAUGGUGCAAUUGUAACAUUCCUAAAUAUGUUAGCUAGUCCGCGCAAGCUAACAUUAUGCUACAGCUCUUGUAUUAGAUGUAAUUAGUUUAUUGUGAUUAUUUUAAGCCCUCUCUCAGAAGAUCUCCUUUAGACACUAAUUAGCAAAGGAGCAUUGUGCCACGAGCAGGAAAUCUUUGUAAUAUUGAUUUUGUUGCCUGUGUUCAUUGACGAGCGAGGGAGAGAGACGAGUCUGCUUCCUUUGUGGGAUUCUACGUCUUGAAUGACACUCAUGAGCUAGCUUUUAAUAAGAUGUUGCUUUUUUGUAUCGAUUGUGUAGCUUUACCGCCCAUUUAGGUUCUGCAUCUGCAUGCAGCUCCAUUUCAUUUUGGAGAUCGCCAGUAUGAGCUAACUAAGAGAUAAUAAGACCUUUGGAAAUGCAAAAUAGCCAGAGUCAUCUUUUCACAGCCGAUUAUGUCGCACUUUAAAGAUGAUGGGAGGACUUUUCAAUUUGACAGCCAUUAGACGUGCGGGAUUGAAUAAUAGACAAGCACCUUUGUCUCUUCCUGUGUUCUUUAUCUUCCCUCAUCUGCAUGUGCUUGUCUUGUUCUCCUCCAUCUUAACUGUAUUGGAGUCUUUCCUUCCUCCCGUCAAGCUCCCAGGUGUGGACUUUCUUCUUGUAGGAAGUCCCGGCUGGCUUUUCUAUCCCCGACUCAAAGUUUGGAUUGACAUUUCACCACACAUCAAAUAACGCUUCAGUCACUAAAUCCACAUUUUCCUGCAGUCUUUCGUCCGCAGGAAAAUGUGUCUCUCUGGAUCCCGCUUGAUACUUCAAGAGCGUUCAGAUAAAGUCCUUGGAAACCGCGUCCGCAAAGUUGGGCGCCGACAUGAGGAUGGAGAUGGUGCAAAUGAUGUUGAAGACGCUGAACGCCACCAAGCACAGGCGGUCGAUUACGGCGCCCGCAAACUUCCACUGGUCGGCCACGCACUCUGCUUCGUCCUGCUCCUUGAAGCGGUCCGCCAAGUAGCGCACCUCCUCCAGGACGGCCUGAAGUAAAGGGUCCCCGUGACCUGCGGCCUGACCCACAGCGUUGCCAAACCCCCCGCCGCUGGAGACAAUGCUGGGGCAUCCUACCACGUCCAAGUUGGGGCUUGGGGAGCUGCACAGGUGAGGCGGCAGAUGCGGUGGCGGACUUCGCGGUCCUGAGGGGGCGUUGAUACUCCUCUGGGGGGCGUCUACGAGCACUGAGGGUUCCUCCAUCGGCUGGAAGCCCAUGUAAAGAAGAUUCCCGUUGUUGGCGCUGGAUUGGAGGUGCCCCGCGUGUAGAGGGGCGAGGUUCUGAGGGUGCAGCGGGUGCAGGGCGGGGUCGCCGUGGUUCGGGAUGCUGCCGCUGUGGGAGCCUGAGGAACAGCGACGUAGAUGGGGGGCGCACUGGGGCCUCUCGGGUUUCUCCGCUUCGCCAGGACGCUUCAUCCGCAGGAACCACGCCACCCACUGGAGCAGGACCAGCUUCACCUGUGGAAACAGAACGCCAACAGUGCACUCCAGUCACCUGCAGGUCACUUUUUUUUUACAUUACCUCAGCCAAAGUACAAAUCUUAGGAACACAAGUGAGACAAUGUGACUUUUACAGUAGAAUGAAGUUGCUGGGCGCUGCUUCCAAAUGCAAAUGAAGCAAUUUUUAUGUUGCCUAUACUGCCACACUUAUGUAUCACCUUGUCUUGUUGCUUCACAUCUAGGUGUCCCCUGCAAAGGCAGAAAGAUGCUUCACUGAAGGUGGGCGGUCACUGCGCUGCUGCAGGCUCACCUAUGAGGUCCCACUCCCCGUUGGACAUGUAGCCCGACACGUCCGCGUCGUUCAUCUGGAGAUCGAGCAGCCAGCCGUCGUACGUCCACGAACCGAACUUGAGCACACACUUCUGGAUGUCGAAGGGGAACCAUCGAACGUCCACGUUGCAGAAGCUGCAGCAACACGUCCUACACACACACACACACACACACACAUGCAAGAUGGAAUGGUGGCCAUCCUUCCAUGUGAUUCAGUUGAUCCCUCUGUUGUGAGACGUGUGCUUGUGAAAGGAACACCGCAAGAUAGACGACAUGCAAAGGCAUCCCCAGAUCUUCCGGGAGCGAUGUCACCAUGCAAACAGAAUUCUGUAGAAGCUCACCGUGUAUCAACGCGGACAAUCCUGAAAGGAGCAGAGCCGCCGAGUGCCACAUCCUGCUGGGGAGAAGAGCGGGAUGCUGGAGGACGAGGAAGAAGAGUG
Nerophis ophidion (straightnose pipefish) is the source of this 2399-nucleotide long non-coding RNA. RefSeq lists it as uncharacterized. The transcript is spliced from 4 exons. Lineage: Eukaryota; Metazoa; Chordata; Actinopteri; Syngnathiformes; Syngnathidae. The record is from RefSeq and is a predicted model, not a curated record.